GACGAACGCUGGCGGCGUGCUUAACACAUGCAAGUCGAACGGAAAGGCCCUGCUUGCAGGGUACUCGAGUGGCGAACGGGUGAGUAACACGUGGGUGAUCUGCCCUGCACUUCGGGAUAAGCCUGGGAAACUGGGUCUAAUACCGGAUAGGAGCCAUUUUUAGUGUGAUGGUUGGAAAGUUUUUUCGGUGUAGGAUGAGCUCGCGGCCUAUCAGCUUGUUGGUGGGGUAAUGGCCUACCAAGGCGGCGACGGGUAGCCGGCCUGGGGGGGUGGACGGCCACAUUGGGACUGAGAUUCGGCCCCGACUCCUACGGGGGGCAGCCGUGGGGAAUAUUGCACAAUGGGCGCGAGCCUGGUGCAGCGACGCCGCGGGGGGGAUGACGGGCUUCGGGUUGUAAACUCCUUUCGCUAGGGACGAAGCUUUUUGUGACGGUACCUAGAUAAGAAGCACCGGCUAACUACGUG
RNAcentral lists this ribosomal RNA (465 nucleotides) under uncultured bacterium. Its description in RNAcentral is "partial 16S ribosomal RNA". It matches the Rfam family "Bacterial small subunit ribosomal RNA", at positions 28 to 507 of the family's 1533-position model. The record is from RNAcentral.